CAAGUCGAGCGGUAGAGAGAAGCUUGCUUCUCUUGAGAGCGGCGGACGGGUGAGUAAUGCCUAGGAAUCUGCCUGGUAGUGGGGGAUAACGUUCGGAAACGGACGCUAAUACCGCAUACGUCCUACGGGGGAAAGCAGGGGAUCUUCGGACCUUGCGCUAAUAGAUGAGCCUAAGUCAGAUUAGCUAGUUGGUGGGGUAAAGGCCUACCAAGGCGACGAUCUGUAGCGGGUCUGAGAGGAUGAUCCGCCACACUGGGACUGAGACACGGCCCAGACUCCUACGGGAGGCAGCAGUGGGGAAUAUUGGACAAUGGGCGAAAGCCUGAUCCAGCCAUGCCGCGUGUGUGAAGAAGGCCUUUUGGUUGUAAAGCACUUUAAGCGAGGAGGAGGCUACUCGGAUUAAUACUCUAGGAUAGUGGACGUUACUCGCAGAAUAAGCACCGGCUAACUCUGUGCCAGCAGCCGCGGUAAUACAGAGGGUGCGAGCGUUAAUCGGAUUUACUGGGCGUAAAGCGUGCGUAGGCGGCUUUUUAAGUCGGAUGUGAAAUCCCUGAGCUUAACUUAGGAAUUGCAUUCGAUACUGGGAAGCUAGAGUAUGGGAGAGGAUGGUAGAAUUCCAGGUGUAGCGGUGAAAUGCGUAGAGAUCUGGAGGAAUACCGAUGGCGAAGGCAGCCAUCUGGCCUAAUACUGACGCUGAGGUACGAAAGCAUGGGGAGCAAACAGGAUUAGAUACCCUGGUAGUCCAUGCCGUAAACGAUGUCUACUAGCCGUUGGGGCCUUUGAGGCUUUAGUGGCGCAGCUAACGCGAUAAGUAGACCGCCUGGGGAGUACGGUCGCAAGACUAAAACUCAAAUGAAUUGACGG
RNAcentral lists this ribosomal RNA (864 nucleotides) under uncultured bacterium. RNAcentral's name for it is "bacterial SSU rRNA". It matches the Rfam family "Bacterial small subunit ribosomal RNA", at positions 58 to 916 of the family's 1533-position model. The record is from RNAcentral.